Molecule: ribosomal RNA, 487 nt
Filed under: uncultured bacterium
Lineage: Bacteria
Description: bacterial SSU rRNA
Rfam family: Bacterial small subunit ribosomal RNA
Source: RNAcentral
GAUGAACGCUAGCGGCAGGCUUAAUACAUGCAAGUCGAGGGGCAUCAAGGUACACGAAAGUGUAUUGUUGGCGACCGGCGGACGGGUGAGUAAUAGGUAGGUAACCUACCUCAUACUGAGGCAUAGCUGGGAGAAAUUCCAGGUAAUUCCUCAUGAGGUUAUAUGACACAUGUGAUAUAAUCAAAGGUAUCGCAAGGUACUGGUAUGAGAUGGGCUUACUGACCAUUAGCUAGUUGGUGAGAUAAGAGCUCACCAAGGCGAAGAUGGUUAGGGGUUUUGAGAGAGAGAUCCCCCACAUUGGAACUGAGAUACGGUCCAGACUCCUACGGGAGGCAGCAGUAGGGAAUAUUGGGCAAUGGGCGGAAGCCUGACCCAGCCAUGCCGCGUGAAGGAAGACGGCCUUAUGGGUUGUAAAACUUCUUUACUAUGCGACUAACUAGAUUUACGAGAUAAUUCUAUAGAAUGUAGCAUAGCAAAAAGCACCGGA